UACGUAGGUGGCAAGCGUUGUCCGGAUUUACUGGGCGUAAAGAGCGCGCAGGCGGUCGUUCAAGUCGCGUGUGAAAGCCCCCGGCUCAACUGGGGAGGGUCACGCGAUACUGAUCGACUCGAAGGCAGGAGAGGGUAGUGGAAUUCCCGGUGUAGUGGUGAAAUUCGUAGAUAUCGAGAGGAACACCGGUGGCGAAGGCGGCCUUCUGGACAGCAACUGACGCUGAGACGCGAAAGCGUGGGGAGCAAACAGG
RNAcentral lists this ribosomal RNA (253 nucleotides) under uncultured bacterium. RNAcentral describes it as "partial 16S ribosomal RNA". It matches the Rfam family "Bacterial small subunit ribosomal RNA", at positions 524 to 776 of the family's 1533-position model. The record is from RNAcentral.